UCAACUGGAGGUAAAUCUCCCUCUUUGCUGAGUAGGUAAUGCCUUCUUGUGCAAGGAUUGCACAUGAUGAAUUUAAGGUAUAAGCCUCUUCUGUUCACACUCUUCCUUUCUUUGUUCACUUUUCUUUCCUUUCCUCCCUCCCUCCCUUCCUUCCUUAGGCAUUAUGGACAGGAGAUGGUGAAGAUGUUGCUCAAUCAUCAAAAAUUUAAAAUGCUUUUGGAACGAUCUCUUUCCACCAGUGACCUGGAAGAUAUUCUGACAAGAAUGAAGAAGGAAGGGAUGGAAAACCAGAAGGCUGAACGCCCAUCUGUCAAGGAGCUGGUGAAGAAGAGGAACGAUGGCUCCAAGAACCCCCAGGCCACAUUGUCUUCUAGCAAACAGUACUGAGCACUUUAUUCAGAUGUGACAAAGCACAUGACAAGCUGUACAUGUCUCUUCCUCAGGAAAAUCUUUAUGGCAGAGAUGGCCAGUGACACAGAUUGUUCUCUUUCCCUACAAAUGCUCUAUGAUAAAAAAAGUCUACUUCUGCAUUACACUGAACACAACUUCUUUGGAGGGGUUUUCACAACUGAGAGACAAAAAGACCCCAUUGGUUGCAGCUCAGACGAUCCAGUGCAGUGGCAAGGGCAGUGGUAUGGAGGCUAUGACAGGGCCAAGUUUCUGCUGCCUGACUUGGGACAAGGAAAUUCAACCAGGGCUUUUUUUUCAUCUGAGUGGAGUCUUUUCCACAUGGGUGUUUUGAUGAGAAGUCCCAGUCUAGAAGCAGGAUGCCAUUCCACAAAGAUGCAGUUCUCAUGCAUGUGGUUUGGCCUGGCUGAAUCAUGGUUUUCUUACCCUGAAACAGUAUCAAGUUUGAGUAGUAAGUAGCAAUGCAAUUCCUGAUCAACUUCAGGCAACAGGUGUCUCAAUGACACCUGUUGUCUUGAUAUUCCUGUCCUUCAUAUGAUUUGCUUGAUGGACAGCAUGUUUGGUUUAUUUCAUCCUGUGCUGCAAUCAGCAUUUAAGACAGGAAUUUGGUCCUUGCUGUCUCUUCAUGGCAGUUGCAGAGCUACUUGUACCUGUUCUCCUCUGAUCACAGAGGGGAUUUAUUUAGCUCUGUCACGCUCAGCAGUGGCAGGAAAGUGACCACAUGCCUCAGUAGCAUAGCUAGCAUCUUUCCAUGCUCAUGCAAGAGACAGGUUGAUCCAGGAGAAUUGUUCCCAGGGGGGUUGUUAAGCUGUGGAUCUAGUCUCUAGGGAAGCAAAUGAAAUGUGAGCAUAGUUCUGGGGUGUCUGGCUUCUGUUUUUAUCUCUGUGACUGAUUUUCUGAAUCCUUCACAUAUGACCCUGUUCAUCUGUUCAGGUGCACCUGAGCUAUUUUUGCAGAUUGUCAUGCCUGGUUGUAGAGACACUUCUCCAGAGUGAUGAGUUUCCUUAUUAUGAGACACAAACAUCCCAUAUGAGGAGCCACUUAAACUUGGAAGUAGUGUCUCUCUUUCUCCACAAAGCAAUGUGACCUGUGUGCCUUGGCAGCCAUCUGAAGAUAGAUCAGAUGCAUCUCAUCCUUGCUUUUCCUGAGUGAGCACUGGCGAGAAUGUUCCUUGCAGAUUGUCUCCCAAAAUGAUUGUCAUGAGGUCCACAUUGUUUUUCAGAGCCUCAUGACUUUCCAGCUUGAAAUCACAUCAUUAGAAAAGCUACUGAAGAUGUUUUGCUCACAAUUUACUGAAGGUAUUAUCACCAACAGGUCCUCAUUUGGUUUUAUUUUCCAGGGUGAAAUCUACCUCUGAUGGAUGCCUCCUACACCGUGCACAAGCCCAGGUCACGUUACCUCCGGUUGAGGAAGAAACGGAGCUGCUCCAGAAGCUUUACAAUCUCCUGGAGGCCAAGGGGUUUCAGACGCGCAUGGAAGGAGUGGCACUCCUCCAAGACUUGUGCAAAACUAGCCCCCAGCUCAUCUCCACUAACAUUGUCCAAAUUUUUGAAUAUUUUGUCCUGAGAAUAUCUGACAGCCACAAGAAAGUGAAGCAGAAGGCGCUGGACGUGCUGGCUGAAAUCACAGGCGUCCUGAAAGAUGCCUUGAACCCGGUGAUCAUUGAUUUGGUGGAAGGAAUAACGAAGAACCUGAACUCCAAGGACCCCAGGGUUCGUGCUGCAGCUGUGAAAGCGCUGGAAGAAUCCAUUGCUCAUUUAGAUAAAGUAUCACUGCUGAAAGAGUUCAGCUACCACUGGAAUCACCUGAGUGGCCAAGCUCUGCUGGAUGUCACGGAGUGUAUCACAGGUAUGGCCUCCCCUUCUAGGCCAAGAGGUCUUCCCAGGGAGUAUUUACAGGCAAUGCCUGUGAACAGACAGCAGAGUAGCUCCUCCAAACCAGGAGGUGCUGAGCUUGUCCCUCCAGCCCAGUGCCCAAGGCAGGUGUAUUUGGCAGGUUUCCCUGGCUGCUGCAGAGCUGUGCAGCAUCUGAGAUGGGGGCAGAGCUCGGCCUCGGGGCUGAGCUCCCACUGGGGCAUCUCAGAACCCAGCUCCAGGAAAGGGAGGGGCUCAAAAUACCCCAGCUGGCCCCUCUCUUGGAAGCUCAGGGACAUCUGUCAUCUUUUAGGGAAAAUGGUGGCAAAUGCUGUUUCAGGGGAUCAGUUUGUUUUGUCCUCACAGAACUCUUGUUUUUCUCUUGGAAAGCUUUGAGGCUGAACUGUGCAGAGCCUGGGGUCACAGCUUAGGUCAAAACUCAACAGACGUAUUAGAGGCAGGGAUUUAGUGCAAGGCAGCCUUUGGGGGCAGAGGGGCAGAAGCAGAGUGCUGAGGCUCCCUGCCUGUGCUGUCAAAGUGGCCCUGGACUGAGCAUUUCUGGGUGUGCAAACAGUGUCUGCCUGUGUCAGCACUGUCCCAAAUGUUACAAAUGCAGCUGAUAAUUGAUUCCUCAGAGGGGCUUGCUAUGUCAGCAAUAGCCAAGGAAUGGGAAAAUUAUAAUCCCAAUAUAUAGUAGAACAGACGAUUGACAGUCUUGCUAUAUCUGGGGCUAAAGCCACUGCUAAUUAGGCCAACAUCUUUGAAUGCAAGGUUUAAUACACUUUGUGUCUCCAUUAGGAAUUUCAAAAGGGCAUGUUCAGCGAUUGGGAAUGUCAAAGGCCCUUUAAAGAGCUUUGAAAAAAGUAGAUCUCCAGCAACAGGGAAUUUAGUUUUACAGAUCUUUUGAUCUCUUUUUCAAAUAAAAGAAUGAAACAUAAAUUAGGACUACUUUAGAAAAAGUAGAUGUUCUCUCUGAGAUUUAGUAGGAAGAGACAGCUGUUCCUUACCUUCAAUAGUCACCAAUAUCUUUAAUUGUAUUUAAACUCAAGUGAAUUCCCAUGUUAAAAUGGGUACCAUAACCCUUUUCCUGCUUAGCACAAUUGGGGUUUGGGUACUUUCAGGAGCUGUUUUAAUAUUGAUGACUGCCAGUGGAUUAAAAGCUUAGAGAAAAUAAAGUCUCUUCCACCACAGAAUAAUAAAUGGCUACUAGAUAACAUUUUGCCUGAUCAGAAAAUAAGAAUGGUCUCCAGAGCUUUUCAGGAUUUGAUCUUUCAGCCAAAUCUGCCAUGCAAGGAGCCUGUUGGUAGUAAAUUUUUGUCUGUGAUAUAGUUUGGUUCAGAAAAUGAGCAGAGAGCAGAUUUCAGAGACAAUAUGAGAAAACACUCGUGUUUUGGAUGAAUUUCAGUCCCCUGUGUAGCAUUUUGCUCUUUCUAUGCCCCUACGUCAGUGGACAUUAUAAGAAAAAAUGCUAUUAAGAUUGGGAGGGGAAAUGGCAUUAAAAUGUGGAGAUGCUCAAAUGCCACAGCAAUGGGGUCUAGCUAAUUCUCUAAGACGCCCUGAGGUUUGAAACAGCUGCUUGUUGGAAGCCCCAGAAGCAUUCUGCCAAAGACACCAGCUAGUCACUGAUGUUUCCAAUCCAACUGUCAAGCAGCAGCCAUCUCUGGUGGGCAGGAGUUUUGAGAUGUGUUCUAAUCCUGCCCUUUGCUGUGUGCCAUUGAGCAAAGGGAAGAGCCAGAUUAAACGUUUGGCACUUGACAUCAAAGUUAUGAAAAUGGAAUCAUCCCUUUUAUUAGAAAUCUCUCAAUUUUCUGUCCACGGUGCAUUUCCGAAUCUUCAGUGUGGGUUUAGACAACUUCUUAAUGGAAAUAAAAAGCAACUGGACAUUUCAUUCAUUGCUCAUGCAGAAAGAUAAUGUGAAAUAAUUUAGUAAAGGGACAAAGUCUGCCACAGGGACAAGGCUGUGGUUGGAGAAAUUAGUCCUGAGGGGUUGGUGGUUCUGUUUCCAGGAUGAUCAGCUGCUUUGCCCGUUUCUGGAUCAUGGGGCUCUGUGCUAUUUUGCUGAUCUUAGCCAGAAGGCUUCCAAUUAGCAAAUGCAGAGGUAGAUCCCUGUUUGCAUUGAGGCUGAUGGUUGAGAAGCUGUGUCUCUCUCCCGGCAGUGCUUGUGGAGUGGGUUUAUGCCAGGAGCCCUGAAGUGGUCCAGCACGACGCCCUGCUCGUGCUCUGGUCCUUCCUGGAGAACAAGGCGCUGCCGGUGCGAAGCGCCAAUGUCCGCACUGUGGCCACCAAGCUUGCCUCUGCCCUCUACAAGGUGAUGGGCACCAAGCUGAAGAGAUGUGCUGCCAGCCAGCCUCCACAUGUGCGGGAAAACCUCUCCAAAAUGUUGGGCUGGUGAAGGCAUGAUGUUCUCCAGAGAGAUGACAACGUGCUGAGUUGGACACCUCCAGAUCUGCCUUGUUAGCUGUGCCAAAAGAGACCAAAUGCUAAGGAAGGGUGUGCACCUGCCCCCUCUCUCUCCAUCGCCCUUCCUAGUCAUGGCAUGGGGGGCCUGAAGCAACUCCAGACUGAGGACAAGGUGAAGGCUGAUCAUGGCUCAGCCUCACACAGAGAUCGGACUGUUUACAGUCUUACCGAGAAGGUUCCUCUGGACAAUUCCCAUGGUGCCUUACCCACAAAGUCCUUGCCUGCUGUACAGAGAUCUCUUUUCUCCAAGUUCAGGAAGAAGCUGCUGCCUGUAUGAAGAUUGUUUGAAGAAUAGGAUUUACGUGUUAGGUUUCGUAGUUACAGAUGCAUAUAUGUUCUGAUCCUUAGAUGUAGUUUUGAAUAAAUGUGUUUUGAUUGUAUCUUUAAA
Passer domesticus (house sparrow) is the source of this 5109-nucleotide long non-coding RNA. RefSeq lists it as uncharacterized. The record is from RefSeq and is a predicted model, not a curated record. The transcript has 5 exons. Lineage: Eukaryota; Metazoa; Chordata; Aves; Passeriformes; Passeridae.